GAUGAACGCUGGCGGCGUGCCUAAUACACGCAAGUCGAGCGAACGGACGAGAAGCUUGCUUCUCUGAUGUUAGCGGCGGACGGGUGAGUAACACGUGGAUAACCUACCUAUAAGACUGGGAUAACUUCGGGAAACCGUAGCUAAUACCGGAUAAUAUUUUGAACCGCAUGGUUCAAAAGUGAAAGACGGUCUUGCUGUCACUUAUAGAUGGAUCCGCGCUGCAUUAGCUAGUUGGUAAGGUAACGGCUUACCAAGGCAACGAUGCAUAGCCGACCUGAGAGGGUGAUCGGCCACACUGGAACUGAGACACGGUCCAGACUCCUACGGUAGGCAGCAGUAGGGAAUCUUCCGCAAUGGGCGAAAGCCUGACGGAGCAACGCCGCGUGAGUGAUGAAGGUCUUCGGAUCGUAAAACUCUGUUAUUAGGGAAGAACAUAUGUGUAAGUAACUGUGCACAUCUUGACGGUACCUAAUCAGAAAGCCACGGCUAACUACGUG
Molecule: ribosomal RNA, 497 nt
Filed under: uncultured bacterium
Lineage: Bacteria
Description: partial 16S ribosomal RNA
Rfam family: Bacterial small subunit ribosomal RNA
Source: RNAcentral